UACGUAGGGUGCAAGCGUUGUCCGGAAUUAUUGGGCGUAAAGAGCUCGUAGGCGGUCUGUCGCGUCGGCUGUGAAAACCCGGGGCUCAACCCCGGGCCUGCAGUCGAUACGGGCAGACUAGAGUGUGGUAGGGGAGACUGGAAUUCCUGGUGUAGCGGUGAAAUGCGCAGAUAUCAGGAGGAACACCGGUGGUGUAGACGGCUCUCUGGACCGUAACUGACGCUGAGACACGAAAGCGUGGGUAGCAAACAGG
Molecule: ribosomal RNA, 253 nt
Filed under: uncultured bacterium
Lineage: Bacteria
Description: partial 16S ribosomal RNA
Rfam family: Bacterial small subunit ribosomal RNA
Source: RNAcentral